Molecule: ribosomal RNA, 253 nt
Filed under: uncultured bacterium
Lineage: Bacteria
Also listed under: 1 other name
Description: partial 16S ribosomal RNA
Rfam family: Bacterial small subunit ribosomal RNA
Source: RNAcentral
UACGUAGGUGGCAAGCGUUGUCCGGAAUGAUUGGGCGUAAAGGGCGCGCAGGCGGCUGUGUAAGUCUGUCCAGAAAGUGCGGGGCUAAACCCCGUGAGAGGAUGGAAACUGGACAGCUGAGAGUGUCGGAGAGGAAAGCGGAAUUCCUAGUGUAGCGGUGAAAUGCGUAGAUAUUAGGAGGAACACCGGUGGCGAAAGCGGCUUUCUGGACGACAACUGACGCUGAGGCGCGAAAGCCAGGGGAGCAAACGGG